AUACGGAGGGUGCAAGCGUUACUCGGAAUCACUGGGCGUAAAGCGCGCGCAGGCGGUCUUUUAAGUUGGAUGUGAAAGCCUACGGCUCAACCGUAGAACUGCAUCCAAAACUGUCAGUCUAGAGUGUGGGAGAGGAAGAUGGAAUUGGUUGUGUAGGGGUAAAAUCCGUAGAGAUAACUAGGAAUACCAAAAGCGAAGGCAAUCUUCUGGAACACUACUGACGCUGAGGCGCGAAGGCGUGGGGAGCAAACAGGAUUAGAGACCCCGGUAGUCC
RNAcentral lists this ribosomal RNA (274 nucleotides) under uncultured bacterium. Its description in RNAcentral is "partial 16S ribosomal RNA". It matches the Rfam family "Bacterial small subunit ribosomal RNA", at positions 523 to 796 of the family's 1533-position model. The record is from RNAcentral.